AUAUGUAGCCCAGCUCAAAAUGACGCAUAGUUCUGGGCUCCGUUUGAACGAUGAGUUCAGAAGCCCAAAUUGAAACCCGUUGUUUCAGUUUCACCCGCUCGCUCCGGACUCUGAGUUUCAAUUACCGAGUCCUGGCCGAGCUCGGGACCAACUGCGAUCUCCCCUUCUCUCUCGCCGGCGAACACAAGAUUCAACAAGCCUGAAGAGACCGCAAUUGGAAGACCAUCAAAGUAUGUCCUCAAUUUUAUUUCUGUUCAUAAAUUAGACCCCAAAACCCUAGAACCAGAGAUUAUUAUUUUGAUCUUCUCUUCUGCAAUCGGAUCUGGAUCCAUCGUUCCAUCAUGUCCUGUUUAGCCCUUGCUCUGCAACCUGCUAAUGGAUCUGAUAUCCUUCUUCAAACUCGCGAAUGGUUCCCUCCCCCGCGAGCGUUAGUAGCCCUAUCCGCCUUCCGGCAGACGCGAUUAGCCUUCGCUGCCACCAAGCACCAGACACACCAUGCCUCGACCGCCCUUGGCGAUGAUUCCUCGCUCGCCGACUCUAUUGCCUCCCUUGGUGAUGAUCCUUUGGCCGCCUCUAAUGGCCAGGUUAUCGUCGGUGUAGAGAGCCGCUACCGAGUUGUCUAUCGCCUCGUCAAUGGCAUCUAUGUCCUCGGCAUCACCACCGCCGAUCAAGAUAACUCUAUUAAUGUCUUUGAGUGUAUCAAUAUUGUAAACCAAGCCGUCAGCGUCAUUGUCGCGGCCUGUCGUGGCGUUGAUGUCACGCCGGAGAAGCUUAGCCGGAAAUACGCUGAGAUUUACAUGGCGUUGGAUAUUGUUCUAAGGGGUGUCAGCAGUAUCCGGCUCGCGGCAAUGCUGGCUUCGAUGCACGGAGAUGGUCUCGCGAAAAUGGUUCAUUCGGCUCUCGAUACGGAAAAUAAGAUUCGUGGGGCUGAUAGUUGGAACACCAUGGAGGUUCACUCGAUUGAGCAUCAAGCCAAUGUGGAGGCAUUUUCAAGUGCGCGGUUUGAGUUACCUGCGGAGACUCUUGAAGCUGGGGAUGAAGUAGCAACAAGUCUUGCGCCUGUCACCACUCAGAGUGUGAAUGAGCAACAGGAUCAGCAGCAGCAGAAGACUGAGGAGCCCGCCACAGAGCAGGAUCCGUUUGCGGCAAGUGACAUGAUUAACAAGCCUGAAGAGCUUGUGAGUGGGUUCAAGAAGAAUAAGGACCCUUCUGCUACGGAUUUGACUAUGGUGUUGGCAGGUCUUGAGGUGCCAACAUUGCCACCAGCGGAAGCCACCCAAUCAACACAUAUUGGUGUGGAGGGAUUCGAAGGAGACUAUGGUGGAAUACAGUUCAGUACUGAUCAAGCUACCAUGGAAGAAACUUUUGAGGGCUUCAGUGACGCUUGGGGUGGAGGAUUGGAUCCAUCUGAGUUCGUGGGUCCUGACAAGGUUAAAAAAUCUGAAGGCCUUGGUGGGUUGGAACUCUUACAGACCGGACAGGCUGAUGGAACGAAAGCAGCUGCUGCUGCUGCUGCUAGCGGUACAGGAACGCCACUUGAGAACUUGGUGACUAAAACUGAAAUGAAGGGUCCCGAAAUGUAUAUCACCGAACAGAUUAGUGCAGAGUUCAGAGAAUCGCUGUUGGCAAGAGUAGGAUUGACGGGGGUUGUAUAUUUGAAAACUUUGCCACCUAAAACUUCUGAUGACAAAGAAACAGAGUUUUCAUUUCGCGUCGAGGAUACAGCUCCGGUUAAACGAUUUGUCAUGCAGGGUUCUCGUGUUAGUAGUCUUGGAAAUGGAAUGUUUCAUGUGCGAACAGCGCCUUCAAAUGAACCCAUACCAAUUAUCAAGUAUAGUUUGCUACCUAGAUUAACCCCAUUGCCUUUGAGAGUUCGUCUCCUUCAACGUCAUAGUGGGACUUUACUUUCUGCAAUGAUUCAGUACGCUGUGAACCCUGAUUUGCCAUCACCUUUGAAAGAUGUAACUUUUACUUUGAAACUGCCGGUUGAUCCUACAUUGUUAAAGGUGUCUCCAAAAGCUGUAUUGAAUAGGUCCGAGAAACAAAUAAAAUGGCAUAUCCCUGAGAUUCCUUUGAAGGGCUCUCCUGUUCGAUUGAGGGCAAGGAUGCCUGUGGAUAGGGGCGAGGAAGAUGAAGGAGAAGAACUUGAAGUGGUAGGUUAUGUGAAAUUUUCAGUUCAAAGUUAUAGAUCACUAUCUGGGAUUUGUUUACGGCCGGCUACUGAGGGUAAGACGGACUUCUACGAGACAGAUCACAAAUUUGAGACUGGAGUCUAUAUGUGCAACUGAAGCCUUUAAAGGUUGAAUGUCUGGUACAAUUCUUGUUAGUGCCUCAGUUUUUGCCUAGUGCUCCAUCUUCGACUUCCAACUAUUUAGUCUCAUGAUUAUGAUAGAAAACGUGAGGAAAGAUAACAAGCAAAAGAGGGAUCAAGUCAAAUAUGGGAAGGGGAAUUAUUGGACUUCACAGAAGGCCGUGGAUGGACCUAUGAUAUUGUCGAGUUGACAUUAACAUCGGCGUGGAGGAAAUAAGUUGGCCUGUAAUCAUGUAUCUUUUGCCAACUUAUAAUAAGUUGCCAAAGGCCACUUUUUUGACAAAAUCGAAAUGAACAGCUUUGAAAACCAUUAUAAUGGAGGAGGCUUGCUCAAUACUACUUGCAUCUGGUAAAUUGUGUUGAAGAGAGUUUUUUUUCUUUCUUUUUGAAAAGGAGAUACGUCAUUAAAGCAUCAAAUGUCAUACAAUGCAACAUCACAUUCUUUAUCCAAUAAGUGUAUACUACUGGGCUGAA
This is a non-coding RNA of Momordica charantia (bitter melon), 2785 nucleotides long. Lineage: Eukaryota; Viridiplantae; Streptophyta; Magnoliopsida; Cucurbitales; Cucurbitaceae. The record is from RefSeq and is a predicted model, not a curated record.